GCCCAGGUGAUGAAAUUGGUAGACAUGCCACUUUGAGGUGGUGGUGCCGGUAACGGUGUGCUGGUUCGAAUCCAGUCUUGGGCA
Molecule: transfer RNA, 84 nt
Filed under: Saprospiraceae bacterium
Lineage: Bacteria; Pseudomonadati; Bacteroidota; Saprospiria; Saprospirales; Saprospiraceae
Description: tRNA-Leu
Rfam family: tRNA
About the family: Transfer RNA (tRNA) molecules are approximately 80 nucleotides in length. Their secondary structure includes four short double-helical elements and three loops (D, anti-codon, and T loops). Further hydrogen bonds mediate the characteristic L-shaped molecular structure. tRNAs have two regions of fundamental functional importance: the anti-codon, which is responsible for specific mRNA codon recognition, and the 3' end, to which the tRNAs corresponding amino acid is attached (by aminoacyl-tRNA synthetases). tRNAs cope with the degeneracy of the genetic code in two manners: having more than one tRNA (with a specific anti-codon) for a particular amino acid; and 'wobble' base-pairing, i.e. permitting non-standard base-pairing at the 3rd anti-codon position.
Source: RNAcentral